AGUCUGUGAGGGUAAGUUGCAGACAGCAUGACCCUCUACCUCCAGAUGAGUCAGGGUGUGUCUC
RNAcentral lists this long non-coding RNA (64 nucleotides) under Pongo abelii (Sumatran orangutan). RNAcentral describes it as "lincRNA". The record is from RNAcentral. Lineage: Eukaryota; Metazoa; Chordata; Mammalia; Primates; Hominidae.